NNGAACAAUUGCUGCAAACAGCAGGAUCACUGGUACUAUAUGCAGCUUGCUGCUUAUAUAGGGUUGUCCUAUGGACCUUGGAGAUGGGC
RNAcentral lists this small nucleolar RNA (89 nucleotides) under Meriones unguiculatus (Mongolian gerbil). Its description in RNAcentral is "Small nucleolar RNA SNORA70 (ENSMUGG00000004630.1)". It matches the Rfam family "Small nucleolar RNA SNORA70", at positions 47 to 135 of the family's 135-position model. From Rfam's summary of the family: snoRNA U70 seems to be exclusive to mammals and is a member of the H/ACA class of snoRNA which contain H (ANANNA) and ACA box motifs. H/ACA box snoRNAs are involved in the conversion of uridines to pseudouridines (5-ribosyluracil) a constituent of structural RNAs (transfer, ribosomal, small nuclear, and small nucleolar). The record is from RNAcentral. Lineage: Eukaryota; Metazoa; Chordata; Mammalia; Rodentia; Muridae.